GUAGAUAUCGUUCUUUUUCAUUUUUUUAAACUUUUUUUUUUUCUUCUUUUUGCUUCUAUCUUUCUUUCAUUAGUAACACUCAAGAGAGAUACCAAUGCUACAUUCA
Molecule: non-coding RNA, 106 nt
Filed under: Thraustochytrium sp. LLF1b
Lineage: Eukaryota; Bigyra; Thraustochytrida; Thraustochytriidae
Source: RNAcentral